GGCUCGGUAGCUUAGUUGGUAUAGCAUUCGUCUAGCAUACAAGAGUCCUGGGUUCGAAUCCCAGCCGAGCAC
RNAcentral lists this transfer RNA (72 nucleotides) under Aedes aegypti (yellow fever mosquito). It matches the Rfam family "tRNA". From Rfam's summary of the family: Transfer RNA (tRNA) molecules are approximately 80 nucleotides in length. Their secondary structure includes four short double-helical elements and three loops (D, anti-codon, and T loops). The record is from Rfam by way of RNAcentral. Lineage: Eukaryota; Metazoa; Arthropoda; Insecta; Diptera; Culicidae.